AAUGAACGUUGGCGGCGUGGAUUAGGCAUGCAAGUCGUGCGGAAAGGCCCCGCAAGGGGUACUCGAGCGGCGAAAGGGAUAGUAAUGCGUGGAUACCUGCCCCUGGGACGGGGAUAGCUGCUGGAAACGGCAAUUAAUACCCGAUGAUGUCUCCGGACCAAAGGUGCGAUUCCGCCCGGGGAGGGGUUCACGUCCUAUUAGCUAGUUGGCGAGGUAACGGCUCACCAAGGCCACGAUGGGUAGCGGGUGUGAGAGCACGACCCGCAUCACUGGGACUGAGACACUGCCCAGACACCUACGGGUGGCAG
This 308-nucleotide ribosomal RNA is filed under the name uncultured Planctomycetota bacterium. Its description in RNAcentral is "bacterial SSU rRNA". It matches the Rfam family "Bacterial small subunit ribosomal RNA", at positions 29 to 351 of the family's 1533-position model. The record is from RNAcentral. Lineage: Bacteria; Pseudomonadati; Planctomycetota.